AAUCUUGCGCAAUGGGCGAAAGCCUGAUGGAGCAACGCCGCGUGAGUGAAGAAGGUUUUCGGAUCGUAAAACUCUGUUGUAAGGGAAGAACAAGUACAGUAGUAACUGGCUGUACCUUGACGGUACCUUAUUAGAAAGCCACGGCUAACUACGUGCCAGCAGCCGCGGUAAUACGUAGGUGGCAAGCGUUGUCCGGAAUUAUUGGGCGUAAAGCGCGCGCAGGCGGCCCUUUAAGUCUGAUGUGAAAGCACACGGCUCAACCGUGGAGGGUUAUUGGAAACUGGGGGACUUGAGUGCAGAAGAGGAAAGUGGAAUUCCAAGUGUAGCGGUGAAAUGCGUAGAGAUUAGGAGGAACACCAGUGGCGAAGGCGACUUUCUGGACUGUAACUGACGCUGAGACGCGAAAGCGUGGGGAGCAAACAGG
Molecule: ribosomal RNA, 424 nt
Filed under: uncultured bacterium
Lineage: Bacteria
Description: partial 16S ribosomal RNA
Rfam family: Bacterial small subunit ribosomal RNA
Source: RNAcentral